RNAcentral lists this ribosomal RNA (598 nucleotides) under uncultured bacterium. Its description in RNAcentral is "bacterial SSU rRNA". It matches the Rfam family "Bacterial small subunit ribosomal RNA", at positions 338 to 944 of the family's 1533-position model. The record is from RNAcentral.
CCUACGGGAGGCAGCAGUGGGGAAUAUUGGGCAAUGGAGGAAACUCUGACCCAGCGACGCCGCGUGCGGGAUGAAGGCCUUCGGGUUGUAAACCGCUUUCAGUAGGGAAGAAGCGAAAGUGACGGUACCUACAAAAGAAGCACCGGCUAACUAUGUGCCAGCAGCCGCGGUAAUACAUAGGGUGCAAGCGUUGUCCGGAAUUAUUGGGCGUAAAGAGCUCGUAGGUCGUUUGUUACGUCGGAUGUGAAAACCUGAGGCUCAACCUCAGGCCUGCAUUCGAUACGGGCAAACUAGAGUUUGGUAGGGGAGACUGGAAUUCCUGGUGUAGCGGUGGAAUGCGCAGAUAUCAGGAGGAACACCAAUGGCGAAGGCAGGUCUCUGGGCCAAUACUGACACUGAGGAGCGAAAGUCUGGGGAGCGAACAGGAUUAGAUACCCUGGUAGUCCAGACCGUAAACGGUGGGCACUAGUUGUGGGAACCUUCCACGGUUUCUGCGACGCAGCUAACGCAUUAAGUGCCCCGCCUGGGGAGUACGAUCGCAAGAUUAAAACUCAAAGAUUAGACGGCUGAGAGNGCGACGACGACGACGAGGAGGAGG